CCUACGGGUGGCAGCAGUGAGGAAUAUUGGUCAAUGGACGAGAGUCUGAACCAGCCAAGUAGCGUGAAGGAUGACUGCCCUAUGGGUUGUAAACUUCUUUUAUAAAGGAAUAAAACGAGGCACGUGUGCCUUUUUGCAUGUACUUUAUGAAUAAGGAUCGGCUAACUCCGUGCCAGCAGCCGCGGUAAUACGGAGGAUCCGAGCGUUAUCCGGAUUUAUUGGGUUUAAAGGGAGCGUAGAUGGGUUGUUAAGUCAGUUGUGAAAGUUUGCGGCUCAACCGUAAAAUUGCAAUUGAUACUGGCAGUCGUGAGGACAGUUGAGGUAGGCGGAAUUCGUGGUGUAGCGGUGAAAUGCUUAGAUAUCACGAAGAACCCCGAUUGCGAAGGCAGCUUACUAAACUGUGACUGACAUUGAUGCUCGAAAGUGUGGGUAUCAAACAGGAUUAGAUACCCGGGUAGUC
Molecule: ribosomal RNA, 460 nt
Filed under: uncultured bacterium
Lineage: Bacteria
Description: partial 16S ribosomal RNA
Rfam family: Bacterial small subunit ribosomal RNA
Source: RNAcentral